This 251-nucleotide ribosomal RNA is filed under the name uncultured bacterium. Its description in RNAcentral is "partial 16S ribosomal RNA". It matches the Rfam family "Bacterial small subunit ribosomal RNA", at positions 88 to 339 of the family's 1533-position model. The record is from RNAcentral.
UAUCUUAGUGGCGGACGGGUGAGUAACGCGUGGGUAACCUGCCCCAUACCGGGGGAUACCCCCUGGAAACAGGUGCUAAUACCGCAUAAGCGCACGGGAGCGCAUGCUCCUGUGUGAAAAACUCUGGUGGUAUGGGAUGGACCCGCGUCUGAUUAGCCAGUUGGCAGGGUAACGGCCUACCAAAGCGACGAUCAGUAGCCGGCCUGAGAGGGUGGACGGCCACAUUGGGACUGAGACACGGCCCAAACUCC